AGCUUAAGCCCCAUGUUUUUCCAGAAAGCUUAAUGGAGCCUGUGAAAAGGAGACCGAUUUUCUCCAUGACUUACUAAGUAUUCUUUUUUCAGAGCAUAUUCAGGAAACUUUGCAAGAUGAGCCUUGCAGAGUCUCAUGAAAAUUUCUGUCCCACCGGAGAAGAGCAGCUUGGAUAAGCAUGAGGUUCAUUAACUUUUGGGUGACCUUUUCACAGUAGAUACAUGACUGUUGCAGAAGCAGAAAAUGCAUGUAGCUGUGAGUAGAAAAGACGAGGCAGGUGCCUGCAGAAGGCUUCUCAGGAGUUCAAGCAAAGAAAUACCUUUGUCAUCUUCUGGUCCUACAACAAGAAGUUUUGAAGAGCUAUCCUCCAUCAGUGAAAUUCCAUUAAAGGCAUCAUAAGUACAUGUGAAGACUUAGUGGAUUUCAGGUUUUAGAAUUC
Long non-coding RNA from Passer domesticus (house sparrow), 439 nucleotides. RefSeq lists it as uncharacterized. The record is from RefSeq and is a predicted model, not a curated record. NCBI's taxonomy places the organism in Eukaryota, Metazoa, Chordata, Aves, Passeriformes, Passeridae. The transcript has 3 exons.